CCUACGGGAGACAGCAGUGGGGGAUAUUGCACAAUGGGGGAAACCCUGAUGCAGCGACGCCGCGUGGGUGAAGAAGCGCCUCGGCGCGUAAAGCCCUGUCAGCAGGGAAGAAAAUGACGGUACCUGAAGAAGAAGCCCCGGCUAACUACGUGCCAGCAGCCGCGGUAAUACGUAGGGGGCAAGCGUUAUCCGGAUUUACUGGGUGUAAAGGGGGCGCAGACGGCGAUGCAAGCCAGGAGUGAAAGCCCGGGGCCCAACCCCGGGACUGCUCUUGAAACUGCGUGGGUAGAGUGCAGGAGGGGCAGGCGGAAUGCCUGGUGUAGCGGUGAAAUGCGUAGAUAUCAGGAGGAACACCGGUGGCGAAGGCGGCCUGCUGGACUGCAACUGACGUUGAGGCCCGAAAGCGUGGGGAGCAAACAGGAUUAGAUACCCUGGUAGUC
Molecule: ribosomal RNA, 440 nt
Filed under: uncultured bacterium
Lineage: Bacteria
Description: partial 16S ribosomal RNA
Rfam family: Bacterial small subunit ribosomal RNA
Source: RNAcentral